GUUAUGCCUGUCUUAUAGCUGGUUUAGGCUGUGGAGGGACACAGGUGUAGAGAAAUGACAGGGAAUAAACAGAAUUGGUGUUAAAAGGAAAUGGGGAGGGGUGGUAAUCCUUCCUCUUCAUCUCUGAAGAAUUAUAGCCGGUGGUCUGAAUCUUCCCUGAGACGAAGAAGCAUUCACCUAGCUGUACCUGACCUGCCGCUCAGAGGGAAUCUGACUAUUAAAGGGGAAAAAACUCUGUUGCUUUGAAGUUCAAUGAACCAGAUGGCGGAUAUUCUGAAAUUUUUUCCGAUCUAAAAGAGUGGGGUAAUGUGGUGGAGGACCACUCAGCCUUGUGCUAUCACUGCUGGAUCAGAGCCUCACUUACCUCGCUAUUCAUUCUCUUCUCCCCUUGCGUUGGCCACCAAUGACGAGAAGUUGCCUGGGAUACUUUUUGUUGUUAUGAAUGGGGUGUCAUUAAAGUGAAUCUUGUUUACUCCAAAUGUCUCUGAUUGGUAUAUCACAAAAAGUCAAUCAUUCAAUCCUCUAAGAUUGAAACCUGGACAGCAACUCAACUCUGGGAAGGUAACCUUUCUGUUCUACAGAAAAU
Molecule: long non-coding RNA, 586 nt
Filed under: Phascolarctos cinereus (koala)
Lineage: Eukaryota; Metazoa; Chordata; Mammalia; Diprotodontia; Phascolarctidae
Description: lncRNA (ENSPCIG00000037390.1)
Source: RNAcentral